UCUUAGGCUGCCAAGCCGAACCGCCGCCCGGACUACCGGUGGUCGUGGUGGUCGCCAGGCUCUUUCCGUUUCCCUUAAGCUGCUCAGCCGGUGGCGACCCGCAACAUAUUUCAAAACGACCUCAGCCUCCGGCUUCGCUGGACCGCUUGUGCCUCGAGCCACCGAUCUCUUUCGCAAUUCGCUCUGUAAUAAGAAAGAAGAAAAGAAAAAAAAAAAAAAAAAGAAAAGGAGAAACGGAAGUUUAGAUUACUGAUUCUUGUUACAAGUUUGGUUUAAUGUAAUAUACGUUAAUUAAUAACGUAGGGACGAAGCGAAAAGAGAUUCAGAGUCUGCCUUGAUCUCGGUUGCGGAACUUGGCAAUGGUCGAAAAUCACGGCUAACAAACGUGAAAAAUCCAACCAAUGGAGAGAAAACAAGGAAACACACAUACGGGGGAUGAACAACAGUGUGUUUAAUUGGUGUGCCAGCUCAGCGGGUGUUCCAUGACGACGUAGAGGAGGAGGACGUCCAAGAUUAAGUCAGAGCGAACGUGGGUGGUCGAAGAAGAACCAGCAGCAGCCAAAACCACGCACCUGGAUAGCCCCGGCAGAAAUAUCCGUCCGUCGUUUCGCGGGGUAUAUAAUCAGCGGCAAAGCCGGCCAGCCGCCGGCCAAUUCCAGUCAAGCACUGAGAAGUUAUAUAUUUGUUAACUUAAGGUCACCGGGAAGUUUGAGAAAAAUAGGUAUCGUUACAGUAACGGUUUAAAUGUCGUUGGAGUUUCUAGAAAAUUUGAUAGGAAUGACCGGUUAUAGUUCAAUUACAUAGUUGUAAAUACAACAUUUUCUCAUUAUCGUAGUAUUGAAACUGUUUGUUUAGUUUUUUUUUUUCAGUCAAAUCAGGCCCUACUAUUAAUCGUGCUUUUAUUUUAUGGUAAAAAAUGAAUAUAUUCGAUGACGGUGUAAUAGGGUGUUACAACAAAAAAAAAAAAAAACAACGCACUUUUUUCAAACACGCGUCAAAAUUUCGGUAGAGCAUCUCAAAUAAAA
Molecule: long non-coding RNA, 1025 nt
Organism: Neodiprion virginianus
Lineage: Eukaryota; Metazoa; Arthropoda; Insecta; Hymenoptera; Diprionidae
Exons: 2
Source: RefSeq, a predicted model, not a curated record